This 971-nucleotide ribosomal RNA is filed under the name Escherichia coli. RNAcentral's name for it is "partial 23S ribosomal RNA". It matches the Rfam family "Bacterial large subunit ribosomal RNA", at positions 604 to 1578 of the family's 2925-position model. Lineage: Bacteria; Pseudomonadati; Pseudomonadota; Gammaproteobacteria; Enterobacterales; Enterobacteriaceae. The record is from RNAcentral.
CCUUUUGUAUAAUGGGUCAGCGACUUAUAUUCUGUAGCAAGGUUAACCGAAUAGGGGAGCCGAAGGGAAACCGAGUCUUAACUGGGCGUUAAGUUGCAGGGUAUAGACCCGAAACCCGGUGAUCUAGCCAUGGGCAGGUUGAAGGUUGGGUAACACUAACUGGAGGACCGAACCGACUAAUGUUGAAAAAUUAGCGGAUGACUUGUGGCUGGGGGUGAAAGGCCAAUCAAACCGGGAGAUAGCUGGUUCUCCCCGAAAGCUAUUUAGGUAGCGCCUCGUGAAUUCAUCUCCGGGGGUAGAGCACUGUUUCGGCAAGGGGGUCAUCCCGACUUACCAACCCGAUGCAAACUGCGAAUACCGGAGAAUGUUAUCACGGGAGACACACGGCGGGUGCUAACGUCCGUCGUGAAGAGGGAAACAACCCAGACCGCCAGCUAAGGUCCCAAAGUCAUGGUUAAGUGGGAAACGAUGUGGGAAGGCCCAGACAGCCAGGAUGUUGGCUUAGAAGCAGCCAUCAUUUAAAGAAAGCGUAAUAGCUCACUGGUCGAGUCGGCCUGCGCGGAAGAUGUAACGGGGCUAAACCAUGCACCGAAGCUGCGGCAGCGACGCUGAUGCGUUGUUGGGUAGGGGAGCGUUCUGUAAGCCUGCGAAGGUGUGCUGUGAGGCAUGCUGGAGGUAUCAGAAGUGCGAAUGCUGACAUAAGUAACGAUAAAGCGGGUGAAAAGCCCGCUCGCCGGAAGACCAAGGGUUCCUGUCCAACGUUAAUCGGGGCAGGGUGAGUCGACCCCUAAGGCGAGGCCGAAAGGCGUAGUCGAUGGGAAACAGGUUAAUAUUCCUGUACUUGGUGUUACUGCGAAGGGGGGACGGAGAAGGCUAUGUUGGCCGGGCGACGGUUGUCCCGGUUUAAGCGUGUAGGCUGGUUUUCCAGGCAAAUCCGGAAAAUCAAGGCUGAGGCGUGAUGACGAGGCACU